RNAcentral lists this ribosomal RNA (430 nucleotides) under Bacillota bacterium. Its description in RNAcentral is "Firmicutes bacterium partial 16S ribosomal RNA". It matches the Rfam family "Bacterial small subunit ribosomal RNA", at positions 355 to 776 of the family's 1533-position model. The record is from RNAcentral. RNAcentral also lists the same sequence under 1 other name. Lineage: Bacteria; Bacillati; Bacillota.
UAGGGAAUCUUCCGCAAUGGACGAAAGUCUGACGGAGCAACGCCGCGUGAGCGAAGAAGGUCUUCGGAUCGUAAAGCUCUGUUGUUAGGGAAGAACAAGUAUCGUUCGAAUAGGGCGGUACCUUGACGGUACCUAACCAGAAAGCCACGGCUAACUACGUGCCAGCAGCCGCGGUAAUACGUAGGUGGCAAGCGUUAUCCGGAAUUAUUGGGCGUAAAGCGCGCGCAGGCGGUCCUUUAAGUCUGAUGUGAAAGCCCACGGCUCAACCGUGGAGGGUCAUUGGAAACUGGGGGACUUGAGUGCAGAAGAGGAGAGCGGAAUUCCACGUGUAGCGGUGAAAUGCGUAGAGAUGUGGAGGAACACCAGUGGCGAAGGCGGCUCUCUGGUCUGUAACUGACGCUGAGGCGCGAAAGCGUGGGGAGCGAACAGG